UACGUAGGGCGCAAGCGUUAUCCGGAAUUAUUGGGCGUAAAGAGCUCGUAGGCGGUUUGUCGCGUCUGCCGUGAAAGUCCGGGGCUCAACUCCGGAUCUGCGGUGGGUACGGGCAGACUAGAGUGCAGUAGGGGAGACUGGAAUUCCUGGUGUAGCGGUGAAAUGCGCAGAUAUCAGGAGGAACACCGGUGGCGAAGGCGGGUCUCUGGGGCAACAACUGACGCUGGAGGAGCGAAAAGCGUGGGGAGCGAACAGGG
RNAcentral lists this ribosomal RNA (257 nucleotides) under uncultured bacterium. Its description in RNAcentral is "partial 16S ribosomal RNA". It matches the Rfam family "Bacterial small subunit ribosomal RNA", at positions 524 to 777 of the family's 1533-position model. The record is from RNAcentral.